This 466-nucleotide ribosomal RNA is filed under the name uncultured bacterium. Its description in RNAcentral is "partial 16S ribosomal RNA". It matches the Rfam family "Bacterial small subunit ribosomal RNA", at positions 29 to 506 of the family's 1533-position model. The record is from RNAcentral.
ACGAACGCUGGCGGCGUGCUUAACACAUGCAAGUCGAACGGAAAGGCCCUGCUUUUGUGGGGUGCUCGAGUGGCGAACGGGUGAGUAACACGUGAGUAACCUGCCCUUGACUUUGGGAUAACUUCAGGAAACUGGGGCUAAUACCGGAUAGGAGCUCCUGCUGCCUGGUGGGGGUUGGAAAGUUUCGGCGGUUGGGGAUGGACUCGCGGCUUAUCAGCUUGUUGGUGGGGUAGUGGCUUACCAAGGCUUUGACGGGUAGCCGGCCUGAGAGGGUGACCGGCCACAUUGGGACUGAGAUACGGCCCAGACUCCUACGGGAGGCAGCAGUGGGGAAUAUUGCACAAUGGGCGGAAGCCUGAUGCAGCAACGCCGCGUGCGGGAUGACGGCCUUCGGGUUGUAAACCGCUUUCGCCUGUGACGAAGCGUGAGUGACGGUAAUGGGUAAAGAAGCACCGGCGAACUACGU